RNAcentral lists this ribosomal RNA (494 nucleotides) under uncultured bacterium. Its description in RNAcentral is "partial 16S ribosomal RNA". It matches the Rfam family "Bacterial small subunit ribosomal RNA", at positions 28 to 507 of the family's 1533-position model. The record is from RNAcentral.
GACGAACGCUGGCGGCGCGCUUAACACAUGCAAGUCGAACGGAGAGGCCUGCUUUCCCUUGUGGAUUGCGGGUACUCGAGUGGCGAACGGGUGAGUAACACGUGAGUGAUCUGCCCCCAACUUGGGUAUAAGCCUGGGAAACUGGGUCUAAUUCCCGAUAGGACUGCAGGGUGGUGCCUGUGGUGGAAAACGAUUUUCUAGUGGUUGGGGAUGAGCUCGCGGCCUAUCAGCUUGUUGGUGGGGUAAUGGCCUACCAAGGCGGCGACGGGUAGCCGGCCUGAGAGGGUGGACGGCCACAUUGGGACUGGGAUACGGCCCAGACUCCUACGGGAGGCAGCAGUGGGGAAUAUUGCACAAUGGGCGGAAGCCUGAUGCAGCGACGCCGCGUGGGAGAUGACGGCCUUCGGGUUGUAAACUCCUUUCGACCGCGAGGAAGCCACCUGGUUGGAAGGGUGGUGACGGUAGUGGUAGAAGAAGCACCGGCUAACUACGUG